Molecule: ribosomal RNA, 925 nt
Filed under: uncultured bacterium
Lineage: Bacteria
Description: bacterial SSU rRNA
Rfam family: Bacterial small subunit ribosomal RNA
Source: RNAcentral
AUUCGCCCUUAGAGUUUGAUCCUGGCUCAGGAUGAACGCUAGCUACAGGCUUAACACAUGCAAGUCGAGGGGAAACGAUAGAGAAAGCUUGCUUUUUCUAGGCGUCGACCGGCGCACGGGUGAGUAACGCGUAUCCAACCUGCCCAUCACUUGGGGAUAACCUUGCGAAAGUAAGACUAAUACCCAAUGAUAUCCGUCGAAGACAUCUGAAGUGGAUUAAAGAUUUAUCGGUGAUGGAUGGGGAUGCGUCUGAUUAGCUUGUUGGCGGGGUAACGGCCCACCAAGGCGACGAUCAGUAGGGGUUCUGAGAGGAAGGUCCCCCACAUUGGAACUGAGACACGGUCCAAACUCCUACGGGAGGCAGCAGUGAGGAAUAUUGGUCAAUGGGCGAGAGCCUGAACCAGCCAAGUAGCGUGCAGGAUGACGGCCCUAUGGGUUGUAAACUGCUUUUAUAAGGGAAUAAAGUGAGUCUCGUGAGGCUUUUUGCAUGUACCUUAUGAAUAAGGACCGGCUAAUUCCGUGCCAGCAGCCGCGGUAAUACGGAAGGUCCGGGCGUUAUCCGGAUUUAUUGGGUUUAAAGGGAGCGUAGGCCGGAGAUUAAGCGUGUUGUGAAAUGUAGAUGCUCAACAUCUGCACUGCAGCGCGAACUGGUUUCCUUGAGUACGCACAAAGUGGGCGGAAUUCGUGGUGUAGCGGUGAAAUGCUUAGAUAUCACGAAGAACUCCGAUUGCGAAGGCAGCUCACUGGAGCGCAACUGACGCUGAAGCUCGAAAGUGCGGGUAUCGAACAGGAUUAGAUACCCUGGUAGUCCGCACGGUAAACGAUGGAUGCCCGCUGUUGGUCUGAAUAGGUCAGCGGCCAAGCGAAAGCAUUAAGCAUCCCACCUGGGGAGUACGCCGGCAACGGUGAAACUCAAAGGAAUUGA